GCAAAAGGUUUUUUUUGUUUUUUACAGUGAGCAUCCACUGGCUACUCACUGUUUACUAGACAUGUCUCUACUCGCAGUAUAGCGAGUAAGGGCAGAAUUUACUAAUACCAGAACACUGGUGAGACCUCACUUGGAGUAUUGUAUGCAGUACUGGAGACCAUAUCUCAAGAAGGAUAUUGAUAUUUUGGACAGCGUUCAGAGAAUGGCUA
Molecule: non-coding RNA, 209 nt
Organism: Pelobates cultripes (western spadefoot toad)
Lineage: Eukaryota; Metazoa; Chordata; Amphibia; Anura; Pelobatidae
Source: the annotation of a GenBank genome assembly